CCUGUCCACUGCCUGCU
RNAcentral lists this unclassified non-coding RNA (17 nucleotides) under Mus musculus (house mouse). RNAcentral describes it as "oocyte_clustered_small_RNA10547". The record is from RNAcentral. Lineage: Eukaryota; Metazoa; Chordata; Mammalia; Rodentia; Muridae.